This 578-nucleotide long non-coding RNA is filed under the name Triticum aestivum (bread wheat). RNAcentral describes it as "long non-coding RNA (TAES_LNC024493)". Lineage: Eukaryota; Viridiplantae; Streptophyta; Magnoliopsida; Poales; Poaceae. The record is from RNAcentral.
GGCCCGACUGGGCCAAGGGCUACUCCCGCCUCGGCGCCGCGCGCCUCGGGUCCGGGGACGCCGCGGGCGCCGUCGAGGCCUACGAGAAGGGCCUCGCCCUCGACCCCUCCAACGCCGCCCUCAAGGACGGGCUCGCCCAGGCCCGUUCGGCCCUCCCCCGCCGCCCGGCCUCCGGCGCCGACGCCAUUGGCAAGAUUUUCCAGGGGGCCGACCUCUGGAGCAAGAUCGCCGCCGACCCCACCACGCGCGCCUACCUCGACCAGCCCGACUUCAUGCAGAUGCUGCGCGAUCUGCAGCGGAACCCCGGCAACCUCAACAACUACCUCUCCGACCCCCGCAUGAUGCAGGUGCUCAGCCUCAUGCUCAACGUCAAGGUCCAGAACCAGAACAAUGAGGCCUCCGAGCCGACGCCGGCCAAGUCGUCCCCGCCACCGCCACAGAAGCAGCCCGAGACCAAGCCGAGGGAGCCGGAGCCCGAACCGGUGGAGAUGACCGAUGAGGAGAAGGAGCGGAAGGAGAGGAAGGCUGCGGCGCAGAAGGAGAAGGAGGCGGGGAACGCCGCUUACAAAAAGAAGGAU